CAAUAGCGUAUAUUAAAGUUGUUGCAGUUAAAAAGCUCGUAGUUGGAUUUCGGUGCAGUGUGUAACCCGGUCUGCCGAGACGGUGUGUACUGGUUCACCUGUGCUUCCUGACGGUUUUUGCUUCGCGCUGCUCUUCACUGAGUGGCGUGUGAGCUCCGUCUCGUUUACUUUGAAAAAAUUAGAGUGUUUAAAGCAGGCCGUUCGCGCCUUGAAUAUUGCAGCAUGGGAUAAUGGAAUAGGACUUUGCUCCUAUUUUGUUGGUUUCUAGGAGUCAGAGUAAUGAUUAAUAGAGAUAGUUGGGGGUAUUCAUAUUUAGUUGUCAGAGGUGAAAUUCUUGGAUUUACGAAAGAUGAACUUCUGCGAAAGCAUUUAGCAAGGAUGUUUUCAUUAA
RNAcentral lists this ribosomal RNA (391 nucleotides) under uncultured eukaryote. RNAcentral's name for it is "partial 18S ribosomal RNA". It matches the Rfam family "Eukaryotic small subunit ribosomal RNA", at positions 592 to 976 of the family's 1831-position model. The record is from RNAcentral.